RNAcentral lists this small RNA (27 nucleotides) under Bombyx mori (domestic silkworm). Its description in RNAcentral is "ovarian small RNA-27628". The record is from RNAcentral. Lineage: Eukaryota; Metazoa; Arthropoda; Insecta; Lepidoptera; Bombycidae.
UCCGUGCUGAGAUUAGUUUGCAAGGGC